GGAAUUGGCGGGGGAGCACCACAAGAGGUGGGACCUGCGGUUCAAUUGGAUUCAACGCCGGAAAACUCACCAGGGGCGACAGCUGGUUGACGGCCAGAUUGACGAUCUUGCCCGACUAGCUGAGAGGUGGUGCAUGGCCAUCGUCAGCUCGUACCGUGAGGCGUCCUGUUAAGUCAGGCAACGAGCGAGAUCCUCGCCCUUAGUUGCCAUCGGUGGAAAGCCGGGCACUCUAGGGGGACCGCUGGCGCUAAGUCAGAGGAAGGAGAGGGCGACGGUAGGUCAGUAUGCCCCGAAUCCCCUGGGCUACACGCGGGUCACAAUGCGCAGGACAAUGAGAUGCAACCCCGUAAGGGGAAGCCAAACCCAUAAACCUGCGCUCGGUUCGGAUCGAGGGCUGUAACUCGCCCUCGUGAAGCUGGAAUCUCUAGUAAUCGCGUGCCAACACCGCGCGGUGAAUGCGUCCCUGCUCCUUGCACACACCGCCCGUCAAGCCACUCGAGUGGGGUUUGGAUGAGGUCAGUUCAAGUUGUGCUGCUCGAAUCCGAGUUCUGCAAGAGGGGCUAAGUCGUAACAAGGUAACC
Molecule: ribosomal RNA, 581 nt
Filed under: uncultured archaeon
Lineage: Archaea
Description: bacterial SSU rRNA
Rfam family: Archaeal small subunit ribosomal RNA
Source: RNAcentral